UCUUGCUCAAGCAAUUUUAGAGGAAUAGCUCUAAAAUAAGUGGCUUUCCCAGGAUCAAAGGCAGAGCCAUUUUGCUGAAGAAACAGAAAUACAAGACCUGAUUGGCAGCCUGGGAGGAGAAACCUGAGGUACCUGAGGGCCUGGACUCAUGGGAGCAUCCCAAAAGAAACAGUCAUCAGUCCCCUAAAAUAUCUGUUACCCCAAUAAGUGGCAGUCCUUGUGAAGCUGGUUCAGAACAAAACUGCAGAGCAGGUGUUGGAAGGGUCAGGUGGUUUUUUUCCUUCCUCUUUGUAAAAAUGAAGGGGAAAAGCUCUGCCCUGGGGUAGUGCAGCUCCCUUUCCUGUUGUUCCAUCGUGUUGUUGGGAUGAGUGUCCUAAGAAGGGAAGAGAGCUGGGCAAGGCUUUGGAGCUCAAGGGACAGGACAAGAGGGAAUGGCCCCAGGUUGUGCCUGGUGAGGUUUAGAGUGGAAAUUGUGGGAAAUCUCCCCACUGGAAAGUUGGUCAGGCAUUGGACCAGGCUGCCCAGAGGCACCAAUGCUGGAAAUGUUCAAAAGGCAUGUGGAUGUGGUGCUCAGAGAAAUGCUUUUGUGCUCUUGAAUUCACAGUUAGACUUGAUGAUCUUGGAGGUCUUUCCCAACCUUAAUGACUCUGUGAUUCUUUCGGUUAAAAGGAAGUGGAAACACAAAUGAAAAAGGAUUAAUCUGCUGUUUGCAGUGCUGGGCGUGCUCUGCUUUGGGGACAGCUUUCCCCUCCCCUCCUUCCCCAGAUGAAAACUUGAAUCUGUGCUUGCCGCAUUUUAGUUUAGCUUGAUUUUUACCCUAAAAAAAGUGUGUUAAUAAGCAUUUCUUUGCAGCUAGGGAGCCACUUCCAGAUGUGUUUGUCCUGAAUGUCCUUAUCCUGUGUGCCAUUUGGUCAUGCUGAGCUCAAGGGGGAGUUUGCCCUGGACCCAGCUCAGAGGAUAUUGCUGCAGGAGCCACUGCUCUCAGCAAAGUGCUGUGAAAACAUCCAGGAGAUGUCUAUUCCUGCCCUAAUCCCUGAAAUGUGUCCCUCAUAAACACAGCCAAAUAAUUUGGGUGCUUUGUCUGUGCAGAGUGGAGAGAGCUGCUGUGGGAACUUUGAGAGCUUGAGUGUCUUGUUUUGCAUGUAAGUUCUCAGCACUGAAGUGCAUAAAUAGGGCUUUGCAUCUCAUAAUUUAUAAUUCAGCCCAAGAAAUGCUCUAAUACCUUUAUCAGAAUGGGAACGUCGCUCAAAGCACAAAAGCACAAAUCACUGAGGAACAGGCAGACAUUAAGGGCUGCUGUUCUCUCUGUGUCUGGAAUAACAGCCAAGAAUCAGUGAGAUUUUCUCCUAAACAAAUGUUUCACUGUUGUGUGUGUGAAUAAAUAAAUUUUCUCUCUCUCUCUCUUUUAUUUUUUUUUAAGGCAGGCCAAGGAAGGAAAGGAAAAGCUGAAGUGCCUUAGGUGCAGGGAAGCAUUUUGCUCUAUUCCCUGACUUUGCUCAGUGCCACCUGUGUUUCCCCACUGCAGGGUAAGAGCAGGAGGGCUGAGGAUUUGGGAUGGGCAAGCCUGGAAUAGGGAAGAAAUUUCUUCACAGCUGUCCCUGGUCGUGGGACCUCGGGUUCUGGUGGCCAGGCAGUGAAAUCAGGAGGUCUGGGGAGAUAAACCCACCUCAUCCUGGUGGGAAGGGGCUGGGAGCACCCUGGUCUAGUUGGAACUGGAUGUCCUUUAGAGUCCCUUGCAACCCAUGAGAUUCAGCGUUCCUGUGGCUGUGGCAGGGAAGGGGGUGGUGGAGAAGCUUCUCUGCGAGCAGCACAGGAUGUGCCCCCUAAAGCGCUCCAGCUCAGAGUGGAAAAGAAAAAAAACCCACUUGGGAAUGCUGAUACAUUUGCCAGGGUUUCUGUAGCCACAAUAUAUCCCAGGAAGCAUGGCACCCACCCAUGGUUCAUUUACAAGCCCUGGGUUGUGCAGAAAACAGGAAUUGCCCUUCAGAACCCCACUGAUGGGCCUUCUCCUCCGGUCCCCCCGUGCUGGCACAACCCAGCUUCACAGGCCACAAGGGAAGCUGCAAAGCUGCUGUCAUGAUCCCACUGCUGGAGCCAGAGGCAGCUGGAAAGCAAUGGAGAGGCUCUCAGUGACUCCAGGGUGCUGUGAAGUGGGGGCCCAGGCCAUCAAACCUCCAUGGGGGCAGGCAAGGGGAGAGAAAAUGCGUGGGAGUAGGACUGCAAGUCCUCACUGAAAUUGUUUGUUCUCUUAUUUUUAAUCUCCAGCAUCACUGGACGUGAUCCCUCUGGAGGUGCUGCCAGACCAUUGAGUGCUCCAUCCCUGCCCUCCAGACACCCUCUUCCUGGAAGAAAGUUGGCAACUUUGGGUUUAUUCCAUUUUUUCACCCAUGCCACAGACUAUUUAAUAUCAGGUUUGCUGUGGGUUUGUUUGGGUUUGGUCCCACAAACGCCUCUGGGGCAGGUCAGUGCAUCUCUCAAGCCACCCCUUGGCUGUGCCUUUGGAGUUUGCAAAAUCCAAGGAGACCUCUGUUGUUCUGCUUGAAUAUCCCUCCCCACCUCAGUCCCAAAUGGUGGGAAGCAUCAGGGAAUAUUACUGAUAAACAAUAGAUGUCUGGUGGAGACACUGGUGAUUUUCCUGGUACAAAAGGCUGCUGCAUCCUCUGUGAUAAUUCCCCUUUUUUUUUUCCUCCUUGCUGGCUUUGUGGUUUUGUGAUUUAUUUGUGGGCUGGCAGGCGUCCACAGCCCUGCAGGAAAUGGAUGUCUGCUCUUGUGUUUGAGGGGGGGGGGCAUAUAAAUGUGUAAUUGCCCCACUACAUUAAUUACAGACGUUUCUCCCUGGCUGGAGCAGCUCCAUGGUUUCUGUGCCCUUUCGGUUCGUUCUCCCCAGCCCAGGCUGAGAGUAUUUAUAGUGAACCCCAGCUCUGACAUCCUCAGCUGAGCUGAGGGAAAGUUAAAGAACUUGGCCACAAAAACUGUAGAGGAGAAACUCAGUGGCCUUUUUUUACCUGAUAGUAACUCCAGGACAGCAGCACAGCCAAGUUUUCCCUGGCUAUUCCUCCUGCUGACAUUUUCCUCAAGGAUAAAACUGGUUUGCCCUAAAAAAACAACCCUCUUGCUAUGGAAAAGAAAUUGUAGGGCAAUUUACUUUGGAAUAGCUGUGCUACCUAAUUCCUGGCUCCUAGAGAGAGACCCAGCUGGACUUGGAGCAAAGAAAGGAAACCUGAGGCAAAAUUCAGUGUGGUUGAAUCAGGUUUUGUUGGAGGAAAGGCUGGACAAGCCACCGUGAGGACCUGGCACAGGGUGCCCAGAGCAGCUGUGGCUGCCCCUGGAUCCCUGGAGUGUCCAAGGAAGGUUGGACACUGCGGCUUGGAGCAACCUGGGAUAGUGGAAGAUGUCCCUGCCUGUGGCAGGGGGUGGAACAGGAUAAGCCUUAAGGCCCUUUCAACCCAAACCAGUCUGGGAUUCUAUGGUCUGGGACAGCAGUGGGAUCAAAACUCAUAAUUUCCAGCAGAUUGAAUGUACCUAUGGUGCCCCUUGGCUUGUAAUGUGGAUUCUCCAUUGAUUCCUGAUGAAACAGGAAUAUCCUGCCGUGAUUUUUCUCAUUUUUAUCGUGCCAGAAGUGAGGGUGAAGAAUGAGGGAUGUCUGCAAGGACAGGACAAAAACCUGAGCCAGCCUGGUGGCAUGAAACCAGGAGGGAGGUGAGGAUCUGUGAUGGGGGGACAUCCAGGGAUGCAGAAUUCUGGGAUCUCACCUCCUGUUUGGAGUCAUUGCCUGGAUGUGCUGCUGCUCUGGCUCUGCUGCAAUACGUCUCAUCCUUUUUGGGGCUGGGAAUGUUCCACCUACAAAGCUUCUCCCAGGAGUCCUAGCAAACCUUUGAGGUAAAUCCAUCCAGAUCCACAUAAAAUUAAGCAUCUUACUGUGUUUGUCCU
Long non-coding RNA from Vidua macroura (Pin-tailed whydah), 3930 nucleotides. RefSeq lists it as uncharacterized. The record is from RefSeq and is a predicted model, not a curated record. The transcript is spliced from 3 exons. NCBI's taxonomy places the organism in Eukaryota, Metazoa, Chordata, Aves, Passeriformes, Viduidae.